This 391-nucleotide transfer-messenger RNA is filed under the name Congregibacter litoralis KT71. It matches the Rfam family "transfer-messenger RNA". Rfam says of the family: Bacterial tmRNA, also known as 10Sa RNA or SsrA, is named for its dual tRNA and mRNA-like properties. Its role is to liberate the mRNA from a stalled ribosome. To accomplish this part of the tmRNA is used as a reading frame that ends in a translation stop signal. Lineage: Bacteria; Pseudomonadati; Pseudomonadota; Gammaproteobacteria; Cellvibrionales; Halieaceae. The record is from Rfam by way of RNAcentral. RNAcentral also lists the same sequence under 1 other name.
GGGGGCGUUACGGAUUCGACGACGGUAACAAAACCUGCGGUGCAUGCCGUGAUGGUGGCCAAUCACGUAAAUCCAAAGCUGCAAACUAUUAGUUGCCAAUGACGACAACUACGAGGUAGCGCUGGCUGCGUAAGCAGUCAUCAAUACUUCAUCUAGUGGCUUCGGCCCUAGCGGUCUUUAGCAAGGUUCCAGCCCCGCGUUACUGACUGUCAUAUAGAACUGGAUCGCAGCAAAGCAGGCUCCGGGCCGCGCUGCUAAACAUUUACGGAGAUCGCCAAUCACGUCCUGCCCGUUGGGCUGUGUGCGGCUAGACUAAUCAACGGGAUCUAAGCAUGUAGAGCCAAAGGCAGAGUGCUGGCGGACGCGGGUUCAACUCCCGCCGCCUCCACCA